RNAcentral lists this RNase P RNA (298 nucleotides) under Alphaproteobacteria bacterium. Its description in RNAcentral is "partial RNase P RNA component class A". It matches the Rfam family "Bacterial RNase P class A", at positions 89 to 367 of the family's 367-position model. Rfam says of the family: Ribonuclease P (RNase P) is a ubiquitous endoribonuclease, found in archaea, bacteria and eukarya as well as chloroplasts and mitochondria. Its best characterised activity is the generation of mature 5'-ends of tRNAs by cleaving the 5'-leader elements of precursor-tRNAs. Cellular RNase Ps are ribonucleoproteins. The record is from RNAcentral. Lineage: Bacteria; Pseudomonadati; Pseudomonadota; Alphaproteobacteria.
CGGGGGCGACCCCAGGGAAAGUGCCACAGAAAGCAAACCGCCCUCACGCUUCGGCAUGGGGGCAAGGGUGAAAGGGUGCGGUAAGAGCGCACCGCGCCGCCGGUAACGGCGGUGGCAUGGUAAACCCCACCGGGAGCAAGAACAAAUAGGGGCGGCAGCCGGUUCGCCGGCAGACGGGUUUUCGAGCCGCCGCCCGGGUAGGUCGCGCGAGGCGCCUGGCGACAGGCGUCCCAGAUGAAUGGCCAUCCCCCGGCCUCGUGGCCGGGGACAGAACCCGGCUUACAGGCCAUCUGGCUUU